Molecule: microRNA precursor, 109 nt
Filed under: Helianthus annuus (common sunflower)
Lineage: Eukaryota; Viridiplantae; Streptophyta; Magnoliopsida; Asterales; Asteraceae
Also listed under: 1 other name
Source: RNAcentral
CGAAGAAAUAGACAUGGCGUGAUAUUGCUUCGGCUUAUCAAAUUUAAGGUCUAUAUGCGUUCUAGUAAAACUGAUGAGCCGAACCAAUAUCACUCUUGUAUGUUCCUUU